This 421-nucleotide ribosomal RNA is filed under the name uncultured bacterium. RNAcentral describes it as "bacterial SSU rRNA". It matches the Rfam family "Bacterial small subunit ribosomal RNA", at positions 356 to 774 of the family's 1533-position model. The record is from RNAcentral.
AAGGAAUAUUGGUCAAUGGACGCAAGUCUGAACCAGCCAUGCCGCGUGGAGGAUGAAGGUCCUCUGGAUUGUAAACUUCUUUUAUCUGGGACGAAACACUUCUUUUCUAAGAGGCCUGACGGUACCAGAUGAAUAAGCACCGGCUAACUCCGUGCCAGCAGCCGCGGUAAUACGGAGGGUGCAAGCGUUAUCCGGAUUCACUGGGUUUAAAGGGUGCGUAGGUGGGUAUGUAAGUCAGUGGUGAAAUCCCCGAGCUUAACUUGGGAACUGCCAUUGAUACUAUAUAUCUUGAAUACCGUAGAGNUAAGCGGAAUAUGUCAUGUAGCGGUGAAAUGCUUAGAUAUGACAUGGAACACCAAUUGCGAAGGCAGCCUACUAUGCGGUGAUUGACACUGAGGCACGAAAGCGUGGGUAGCAAACA